GGGAAAGUGGCUCAGUGGCAGAGCUCUUGCCUUGCAUGCAUGAGGCCCUGGGUUCGAUUCCUCAGCACCA
This 70-nucleotide transfer RNA is filed under the name Dipodomys ordii (Ord's kangaroo rat). It matches the Rfam family "tRNA". From Rfam's summary of the family: Transfer RNA (tRNA) molecules are approximately 80 nucleotides in length. Their secondary structure includes four short double-helical elements and three loops (D, anti-codon, and T loops). Lineage: Eukaryota; Metazoa; Chordata; Mammalia; Rodentia; Heteromyidae. The record is from Rfam by way of RNAcentral.